GCCUGGCGUGGUGGCGCGUGCCUGUAGUCCCAGCUACUUGGGAGGCUGAGACAGGAGAAUUGCUUGGACCCAGGAGGCGGAGGUUGCAGUGAAGGGAGAUCGGGCCACUGCACUCUAGCCUGGGUGACAGGGCGAGACCCUGUCUCAA
This 148-nucleotide non-coding RNA is filed under the name Chlorocebus sabaeus (green monkey). Lineage: Eukaryota; Metazoa; Chordata; Mammalia; Primates; Cercopithecidae. The record is from Rfam by way of RNAcentral.